Molecule: long non-coding RNA, 379 nt
Organism: Homo sapiens (human)
Lineage: Eukaryota; Metazoa; Chordata; Mammalia; Primates; Hominidae
Source: Ensembl
AGUGAGAAUCUACUUUUUGAAACAAGUUGAAAAAAAGCAUUUGUCUACAAAAGAACAUCAGAUACUGCACUUUUUACAAAUUGAAUGUUUGUGGCAAGCCUGCAUCGAGAAAGUCCAUUGAUGCCAUUUUUUUCAAACAGAAAAGUAAAGAUGUUUCUGGAAGGCACCAGGAGUCCUGUCUGCACUGAGCACCAUGAAGUUCACCUGCAUUGAGUUCUUUCCCUUUGUACAACACUUACUCCCAGACCAAAAAAUAACUCCUUCUCUCCAAUCUGUGUUCCAGGCAAACCAAUAGACUCCAGUUGUCUCCCGAAAUGCUUAAAGUGCUUUUCCAAUAUCCACUAUGUUUGGGCAACAUAUUAAAAAUAUACAACAAAAA